ACAAAGUGUGUAGGUGGAUCCCUUAGGCAAAUCCGGGGGGUUAACACCAAGGCACGGGACCAGGACUCUUUGAGUCUGAAGCUGCUGAUACCACGCUCCCAGGAAAAGCCUCUAAGCUUCAGUUACACGGGACCGUACCGUAAUCGGACACACGUGGGCAGGAUGAAAAUUCUAAGGCGCUUGAGAGAACUCAGGAGAAGGAACUCGGCAAAUUGACACCGUAACUUCGGAAGAAGGUGUGCCCUGGUAGGUUGUAGCCGUACAGGCGAAGGCCGAAGGGGUUGCAAAAAAUCGGUGGCUGCGACUGUUUAAUAAAAACACAGCACUCUGCAAAGAUGAUGAAUCGACGUAUAGGGUGUGACGCCUGCCCGGUGCCGGAAGGUUAAAUGAUGGGGUGCAAGCUCUUGAUUGAAGCCCCGGUAAACGGCGGCCGUAACAAUAACGGUCCUAAGGUAGCGAAAUUCCUUGUCGGGUAAGUUCCGACCUGCACGAAUGGCGUAACGAUGGCCACACUGUCUCCUCCUGAGACUCAGCGAAGUUGAAGUGUUUGUGAUGAUGCAAUCUACCCGCGGCUAGACGGAAAGACCCCGUGCACCUUUACUGUAGCUUUGCAUUGGACUGUGAUGGGAUCUGUGUAGGAUAGGUGGGAGCCUGUGAAGCGGUGGCGCUAGCCAUCGUGGAGGCAACGUUGAAAUACCACCCUGAUGUCAUUGCGGUUCUAACCUUGGCCCCUAUAGCGGGGUUGGGGACAGUGCAUGGUAGGCAGUUUGACUGGGGCGGUCUCCUCCCAAAGAGUAACGGAGGAGCUCGAAGGUACGCUAGGUACGGUCGGACAUCGUGCUGAUAGUGCAAUGGCACAAGCGUGCUUGACUGCGAGACUGACAAGUCGAGCAGGUGCGAAAGCAGGACAUAGUGAUCCGGUGGUUCUGAAUGGAAGGGCCAUCGCUCAACGGAUAAAAGGUACGCCGGGGAUAACAGGCUGAUUCCUCCCAAGAGUUCAUAUCGACGGGGGAGUUUGGCACCUCGAUGUCGGCUCAUCACAUCCUGGGGCUGUAGCCGGUCCCAAGGGUAUGGCUGUUCGCCAUUUAAAGUGGUACGUGAGCUGGGUUUAAAACGUCGUGAGACAGUUUGGUCCCUAUCUGCCGUGGGCGUUGGACGUUUGAGGGGGGCUGCUCCUAGUACGAGAGGACCGGAGUGGACGAACCUCUGGUGUACCGGUUAUCACGCCAGUGGUAUUGCCGGGUAGCUAAGUUCGGGAGAGAUAAGCGCUGAAAGCAUCUAAGUGCGAAACUUGCCCCAAGAUGAGACGUCCCUGGAGGUUAACUCCACUAAAGGGUCGCGGAAGACCACCGCGUUGAUAGGUCGGGUGUGGAAGCGCAGUAAUGCGUUAAGCUAACCGAUACUAAUUGCCCGUGCGGCUUGAUCCC
This 1427-nucleotide ribosomal RNA is filed under the name metagenome. RNAcentral's name for it is "bacterial LSU rRNA". It matches the Rfam family "Bacterial large subunit ribosomal RNA", at positions 1511 to 2925 of the family's 2925-position model. The record is from RNAcentral.